CUUGCUUCUCUUGAGAGCGGCGGACGGGUGAGUAAUGCCUAGGAAUCUGCCUGGUAGUGGGGGAUAACGUCCGGAAACGGACGCUAAUACCGCAUACGUCCUACGGGAGAAAGCAGGGGACCUUCGGGCCUUGCGCUAUCAGAUGAGCCUAGGUCGGAUUAGCUAGUUGGUGGGGUAAUGGCUCACCAAGGCGACGAUCCGUAACUGGUCUGAGAGGAUGAUCAGUCACACUGGAACUGAGACACGGUCCAGACUCCUACGGGAGGCAGCAGUGGGGAAUAUUGGACAAUGGGCGAAAGCCUGAUCCAGCCAUGCCGCGUGUGUGAAGAAGGUCUUCGGAUUGUAAAGCACUUUAAGUUGGGAGGAAGGGCAGUAAAUUAAUACUUUGCUGUUUUGACGUUACCGACAGAAUAAGCACCGGCUAACUCUGUGCCAGCAGCCGCGGUAAUACAGAGGGUGCAAGCGUUAAUCGGAAUUACUGGGCGUAAAGCGCGCGUAGGUGGUUCGUUAAGUUGGAUGUGAAAUCCCCGGGCUCAACCUGGGAACUGCAUUCAAAACUGACGAGCUAGAGUAUGGUAGAGGGUGGUGGAAUUUCCUGUGUAGCGGUGAAAUGCGUAGAUAUAGGAAGGAACACCAGUGGCGAAAGCGACCACCUGGACUGAUACUGACACUGAGGUGCGAAGCGUGGGGAGCAAACAGAUUAGAUACCCUGGUAUCCACGCCGUAACCAUGUCAACUACCCGUUGG
This 747-nucleotide ribosomal RNA is filed under the name uncultured bacterium. RNAcentral's name for it is "bacterial SSU rRNA". It matches the Rfam family "Bacterial small subunit ribosomal RNA", at positions 79 to 826 of the family's 1533-position model. The record is from RNAcentral.